Long non-coding RNA from Drosophila subobscura, 399 nucleotides. RefSeq lists it as uncharacterized. The transcript is spliced from 2 exons. Lineage: Eukaryota; Metazoa; Arthropoda; Insecta; Diptera; Drosophilidae. The record is from RefSeq and is a predicted model, not a curated record.
AUAAACAGAAGUGGAAGGCUCCACCAGACACAACAAUUUUUUUAUGGAGAAUCAAAAAUUCGCUCGUUGCCUAUUUCAAGGCUUGCAGUAUCAACAUUAUAAGGAGAAUUGCAUCAAUUUGACAACACGCUGCCCCACAAAAGCAAUUGAUUCGUCCUUGGAGGCAACAACUUUUGCCGCGAAAGUUAGAAGAGCCGAAUGAAUGUAAUAGCGCCUGCAGCAGAGCACUACCACCGACCACCGUCACGUGCAAUGGACUUAUAAUAUAAGCCUUAUAUUGUUCGUAUCAAACGCUUUCGUGUGAGAGAAUGUUCUCUGAAGUGACUUGAAUAUAAAGCAACAUUAGAAAUAGAUUUACGAACACAAAUGUAUUCAAUAUAUAUAUUCGCGAAAAUCGAA